RNAcentral lists this ribosomal RNA (253 nucleotides) under uncultured bacterium. Its description in RNAcentral is "partial 16S ribosomal RNA". It matches the Rfam family "Bacterial small subunit ribosomal RNA", at positions 524 to 776 of the family's 1533-position model. The record is from RNAcentral.
UACGGAAGGGGCAAGCGUUGUUCGGAAUUAUUGGGCGUAAAGGGCGCGUAGGUGGUCUUGCGUGUCUACCGUGAAAGCGUACGGCUCAACCGUAUUUAGUCGGUAGAAACUGCAGGACUUGAGGCUGGGAGGGGCUGGUGGAAUUCCCUGUGUAGCGGUGAAAUGCGUAGAGAUGGGGGAGAACACUCGUGGCGAAGGCGGCCAGCUAGACCAGUACUGACACUGAGGCGCGAUAGCGUGGGGAGCAAACAGG